Molecule: ribosomal RNA, 2693 nt
Filed under: Escherichia coli
Lineage: Bacteria; Pseudomonadati; Pseudomonadota; Gammaproteobacteria; Enterobacterales; Enterobacteriaceae
Description: partial 23S ribosomal RNA
Rfam family: Bacterial large subunit ribosomal RNA
Source: RNAcentral
GGUUAAGCGACUAAGCGUACACGGUGGAUGCCCUGGCAGUCAGAGGCGAUGAAGGACGUGCUAAUCUGCGAUAAGCGUCGGUAAGGUGAUAUGAACCGUUAUAACCGGCGAUUUCCGAAUGGGGAAACCCAGUGUGUUUCGACACACUAUCAUUAACUGAAUCCAUAGGUUAAUGAGGCGAACCGGGGGAACUGAAACAUCUAAGUACCCCGAGGAAAAGAAAUCAACCGAGAUUCCCCCAGUAGCGGCGAGCGAACGGGGAGGAGCCCAGAGCCUGAAUCAGUGUGUGUGUUAGUGGAAGCGUCUGGAAAGGCGCGCGAUACAGGGUGACAGCCCCGUACACAAAAAUGCACAUGCUGUGAGCUCGAUGAGUAGGGCGGGACACGUGGUAUCCUGUCUGAAUAUGGGGGGACCAUCCUCCAAGGCUAAAUACUCCUGACUGACCGAUAGUGAACCAGUACCGUGAGGGAAAGGCGAAAAGAACCCCGGCGAGGGGAGUGAAAAAGAACCUGAAACCGUGUACGUACAAGCAGUGGGAGCACAGAGCAAUCUGUGUGACUGCGUACCUUUUGUAUAAUGGGUCAGCGACUUAUAUUCUGUAGCAAGGUUAACCGAAUAGGGGAGCCGAAGGGAAACCGAGUCUUAACUGGGCGUUAAGUUGCAGGGUAUAGACCCGAAACCCGGUGAUCUAGCCAUGGGCAGGUUGAAGGUUGGGUAACACUAACUGGAGGACCGAACCGACUAAUGUUGAAAAAUUAGCGGAUGACUUGUGGCUGGGGGUGAAAGGCCAAUCAAACCGGGAGAUAGCUGGUUCUCCCCGAAAGCUAUUUAGGUAGCGCCUCGUGAAUUCAUCUCCGGGGGUAGAGCACUGUUUCGGCAAGGGGGUCAUCCCGACUUACCAACCCGAUGCAAACUGCGAAUACCGGAGAAUGUUAUCACGGGAGACACACGGCGGGUGCUAACGUCCGUCGUGAAGAGGGAAACAACCCAGACCGCCAGCUAAGGUCCCAAAGUCAUGGUUAAGUGGGAAACGAUGUGGGAAGGCCCAGACAGCCAGGAUGUUGGCUUAGAAGCAGCCAUCAUUUAAAGAAAGCGUAAUAGCUCACUGGUCGAGUCGGCCUGCGCGGAAGAUGUAACGGGGCUAAACCAUGCACCGAAGCUGCGGCAGCGACGCUGAUGCGUUGUUGGGUAGGGGAGCGUUCUGUAAGCCUGUGAAGGUGUGCUGUGAGGCAUGCUGGAGGUAUCAGAAGUGCGAAUGCUGACAUAAGUAACGAUAAAGCGGGUGAAAAGCCCGCUCGCCGGAAGACCAAGGGUUCCUGUCCAACGUUAAUCGGGGCAGGGUGAGUCGACCCCUAAGGCGAGGCCGAAAGGCGUAGUCGAUGGGAAACAGGUUAAUAUUCCUGUACUUGGUGUUACUGCGAAGGGGGGACGGAGAAGGCUAUGUUGGCCGGGCGACGGUUGUCCCGGUUUAAGCGUGUAGGCUGGUUUUCCAGGCAAAUCCGGAAAACUAAGGCUGAGGCGUGAUGACGAGGCACUACGGUGCUGAAGCAACAAAUGCCCUGCUUCCAGGAAAAGCCUCUAAGCAUCAGGUAACAUCAAAUCGUACCCCAAACCGACACAGGUGGUCAGGUAGAGAAUACCAAGGCGCUUGAGAGAACUCGGGUGAAGGAACUAGGCAAAAUGGUGCCGUAACUUCGGGAGAAGGCACGCUGAUAUGUAGGUGAAGUCCCUCGCGGAUGGAGCUGAAAUCAGUCGAAGAUACCAGCUGGCUGCAACUGUUUAUUAAAAACACAGCACUGUGCAAACACGAAAGUGGACGUAUACGGUGUGACGCCUGCCCGGUGCCGGAAGGUUAAUUGAUGGGGUCAGCGCAAGCGAAGCUCUUGAUCGAAGCCCCGGUAAACGGCGGCCGUAACUAUAACGGUCCUAAGGUAGCGAAAUUCCUUGUCGGGUAAGUUCCGACCUGCACGAAUGGCGUAAUGAUGGCCAGGCUGUCUCCACCCGAGACUCAGUGAAAUUGAACUCGCUGUGAAGAUGCAGUGUACCCGCGGCAAGACGGAAAGACCCCGUGAACCUUUACUAUAGCUUGACACUGAACAUUGAGCCUUGAUGUGUAGGAUAGGUGGGAGGCUUUGAAGUGUGGACGCCAGUCUGCAUGGAGCCGACCUUGAAAUACCACCCUUUAAUGUUUGAUGUUCUAACGUUGACCCGUAAUCCGGGUUGCGGACAGUGUCUGGUGGGUAGUUUGACUGGGGCGGUCUCCUCCUAAAGAGUAACGGAGGAGCACGAAGGUUGGCUAAUCCUGGUCGGACAUCAGGAGGUUAGUGCAAUGGCAUAAGCCAGCUUGACUGCGAGCGUGACGGCGCGAGCAGGUGCGAAAGCAGGUCAUAGUGAUCCGGUGGUUCUGAAUGGAAGGGCCAUCGCUCAACGGAUAAAAGGUACUCCGGGGAUAACAGGCUGAUACCGCCCAAGAGUUCAUAUCGACGGCGGUGUUUGGCACCUCGAUGUCGGCUCAUCACAUCCUGGGGCUGAAGUAGGUCCCAAGGGUAUGGCUGUUCGCCAUUUAAAGUGGUACGCGAGCUGGGUUUAGAACGUCGUGAGACAGUUCGGUCCCUAUCUGCCGUGGGCGCUGGAGAACUGAGGGGGGCUGCUCCUAGUACGAGAGGACCGGAGUGGACGCAUCACUGGUGUUC